AAGGGAACUCCUCCUUUUGGACCUUUUCUCUUUUUCUUUCUCUGGUUAUUCCGCUCAUUUCUUUGAAAAUUAGGAUCAUGAAAUUAGUGAGUUUUGUGCAAAUCUGAUUACACCGAAUCGCUAAUCCUGCUCAUCUGCGUUUGUGCCGUAAUCUGGGUUAAGGAAUUUCUUUUCCUUUUGUUCUUCAAAUUGGGAAUUUUUAUUGAGAGAAGUCGAAGUGAUUUCUCGUCCUGGGAAUGAGUUUUGAAAAUCAGAUGGACGGCAGAGUGUUAUUGUUGGAUUUACGUUGUCCUGUUAGAGAGAUUUACAAGGGUUUCGGAAGCUGAUAUGUAUAGAUGCGUUAAUUGAUUUCGAGUACUAGGGAAAUUUUCAGUGAGAGAAAGAAAGGAAGAAGGUUUUCAUUGGUACUGGAAGAGGAAAACAUAGAGUGCGAGUGUGCGCCUGACAAAUCUUCAGCUAAGACACGCAGUAGAAUCUAUGUAAAUAGAGCUGGUGGUUAAUGUGAUUAUCUCAUUUCCAUCGUAAUUGGAUCUUACAAAAGAAAUUCUCGUGAUGGAUGUGUUGGAGAUGUAUUGAUGCCGAGGAAUUGAAUUCAUUUCUACAUACCAGCUGAACUGCCAUGGGUUUGCUUGUGGUUCUUGGGAAAUUGUCAGGAUGGCUGCGGUUCUGUGAUGUAGAUCAUGUGGCUGUAGAUGAUCGUGCUCAGCUUGGCUUUGGCGUGUCGUAAUGCUUGGGGUGGUUGUCAUAACAAAUGCAUGGUAGUGCUUAUUUCUUUUUCGCGCGCGGCUUUGGUGCCUCCCAUAUCAAUUAUGAUUUGUUCCAAUUGCUGAUAAUCCUUUUCAGAUUAUAUAUGGCACAGAACUGAAGUCAGAGCUUCAAAGAGGUUGCCAUAUUCUGCUGCUAACCCAGGGAAGAAUGUGAACAGUGUCGAUGAGGAGGUGAAAUAUUAUUCGCGAUCAACUGAAAAAUCCACGGCAGAUGCUAGAUUAUGCAGAGUUGGAAGCAGAGGGCUUUGCUUAGUCAAUAAAGAUGGGCCUGGAAAAGAAGAAGGCUGGUGGUGUUGGUCUUAAGUUGCUUUGAAUUUUUCAGUUGAAAGUUUCCCCGUAACUGACCAGCUAUACUCUACUCAGAGAUCGAUUUUCUGAAGCAUCAUUCACGUAACUUACUGGCAUUUGGGUGACCCUUAAGGAAAAACUUGCUCGAGCAUCUCAAUCCAGGUUGCAUUAGAAUGUUUUUGAUAAUAAUAAUGGAGUUGAAAGCAUAAAGAGCAUUUAAAGAAGAAAGAGAAGGAAGUCGGUAAGAAGACUGUCUCAUUAGAGUUACCCUUGGCCCCUUGGAAGUUGUUUGGUUUGCCGCCAGAUAAUUUCUUAUCAAGGACUUUGCGUGCUCCCUGAAGAGAAAGAUGCCUUUGCAGGUUUAACUGUGAAACUGUUAUGAUCAAUUGUUGCGGCAGUCAACCUCUUUCACAACAAAUAUUCGGCCGGGAACACUGGCAAAUACUGUUUUGGAAGACAAAAUUCACGUCUUUUUGACAAUCGUCUGUCCAAUUCAGAUGCUUGAAGCCACAUGCGUUAUUCGCUUGGCCCUAAACUUGGUUUUGCACAAUCGCAUGAUUCCAUGCGACCGGUCAUCCAUUUGAAUCAUAGAAGUGAUCAGUCCCAGGAUUUUCCACCUGCCAUUUUAUUAGACGGUAGGGUAAAAUGGAUUUGCUGUUACGACAGUCAAGUGCAGUGCAAUCCGGUAGAUGAAAGUUUGAGAAAUACCGCUAUCCUCAGUUACGCACACGCCAUCUGUGGCUAUACAUAACCUGUCUGUCAGCUUAUUGGUGCAUUGCAGCUCAGCUGAUGUAUGACAUUUAUGGGACGAUUUCCAAGACAAAAGUUGGCAUUAAUUUGACAGGAUAGUUGCCUAAAAAGUACUGUUAGCAUACUUCAAAACCAAGGAUCUCUUAGGAAUUUCUACAACAGCAUGAGGUAUUACAACAACAAUGAUGUCAUUUGGGAGGUGGCUAAAGAGUGAACUCUAGGUUAACUAUGAACAAAGUACUUAGAGACGUACAGGGGUAAAAGGUACUGAAGUGUCGGUUGAUGCUGGUGGUAGUGUUGAUAAAUAAAUUCGUGAAUAUUUCCGGGAUGCAAGAUUAGUGAAUUUUGGUAAAUGCACCAUUUAUCUGUAGUAUAUUGAAAUUUUGAAAUGGAUGACUGUCCAUUUGUAAUAUUUUAAAAUGGUACUUCUUUAUGUUUUCAUCUUGAAUAGAAUUUUUUUCUAUUACUA
Long non-coding RNA from Papaver somniferum (opium poppy), 2274 nucleotides. RefSeq lists it as uncharacterized. NCBI's taxonomy places the organism in Eukaryota, Viridiplantae, Streptophyta, Magnoliopsida, Ranunculales, Papaveraceae. The transcript has 8 exons. The record is from RefSeq and is a predicted model, not a curated record.